GACGUAGGGCGCGAGCGUUGUCCGGAUUUAUUGGGCGUAAAGAGCUCGUAGGCGGUCUGUCGCGUCUGCUGUGAAAACUCAGGGCUUAACCCUGAGCUUGCAGUGGGUACGGGCAGACUAGAGUGCGGUAGGGGAGACUGGAAUUCCUGGUGUAGCGGUGAAAUGCGCAGAUAUCAGGAGGAACACCCCAUAGCGAAGGCAGCUUGC
This 207-nucleotide ribosomal RNA is filed under the name uncultured bacterium. RNAcentral describes it as "partial 16S ribosomal RNA". It matches the Rfam family "Bacterial small subunit ribosomal RNA", at positions 524 to 729 of the family's 1533-position model. The record is from RNAcentral.